This 76-nucleotide transfer RNA is filed under the name Vagococcus teuberi. It matches the Rfam family "tRNA". Rfam says of the family: Transfer RNA (tRNA) molecules are approximately 80 nucleotides in length. Their secondary structure includes four short double-helical elements and three loops (D, anti-codon, and T loops). Lineage: Bacteria; Bacillati; Bacillota; Bacilli; Lactobacillales; Enterococcaceae. The record is from Rfam by way of RNAcentral.
GGACCUUUAGCUCAGUUGCUGUUAGAGCUCCCGGCUCAUAACCGGGCGGUCGUAGGUUCGAGUCCUACAAGGAUCC